CUUACCUGGCAGCCCAAGUGGAGCUUCACCCACUUAAUUCACGACGCUAAGUUACCGCUGGAAUGGCUACCGUUAAAGGAAAAUCUUUUAUGAUCGGCUGCAAUAUGGAACAAGUAUCUUUGCAUUUUCUACCUGUCACAUUUAGAAAAGAGCUGCCGUGGCUUCAUUUUAUUUUUGCUUGCAAUGUCACGGCGAUGUUGCCAAAUACAGUUAGUUGUAGUUUUUGCAAAUCAGUUUAGGACGAAUUCCUUUGGCAAAAAUUACCAAAUGACUUGGACAGAAGGAAGGUUCUGUUCCUGACAAAUCUGUAGAUAAUGAUGAUGAUGAUGAUGAUGAUGUUGAAUUCACUGGAAAUGAAGGGAGAACUGAAUGUGUUUUGCUCCUGAUGAGAGCCUCUGUCUGGAGUUAUAGUAUAAGCAACUUGGACUGCUUAAUGUCUAGGCAGGUUUUGUAUUUGCUGAACCGGAGCAGAGAAGCCAUAUUCCCAAAAGUAAGGAAUGCAAGCAGCUCAAGCAGCAAGGGAAGAAUCCUCAUUCAUCACAGUGCUGCACCAGAGCUUCCUGUUGCAGAACCUGUCAGCUGCUGUCAGGUUCUGUGUCUUAGUGAGACUGACGGUUGGAAGAGUUGCUGCGGAACCUGCUGUGGAAGUGGAUGAGAAUUCUGCAGCUGGCUGAACCGGCUUCCUUCUUGUAAAACGGCAAAGGGCUGUGAGAUUUUCUCCAGUUAUUCUGCCUCUGUGCCCCCCAUGUGCCUUCACAGGCUUUCUUUCUGUUGAACAUUAAAAAGACCACCAUUUCUUUCA
Long non-coding RNA from Gambusia affinis (western mosquitofish), 802 nucleotides. RefSeq lists it as uncharacterized. The record is from RefSeq and is a predicted model, not a curated record. The transcript is spliced from 3 exons. Lineage: Eukaryota; Metazoa; Chordata; Actinopteri; Cyprinodontiformes; Poeciliidae.